RNAcentral lists this ribosomal RNA (934 nucleotides) under Buccella alvarezii. RNAcentral describes it as "SSU rRNA". It matches the Rfam family "Eukaryotic small subunit ribosomal RNA", at positions 1160 to 1801 of the family's 1831-position model. Lineage: Eukaryota; Foraminifera; Rotaliida; Trichohyalidae. The record is from RNAcentral.
AAGGGCACCACAAGAACGCGUGGAGCAUGUGGCUUAAUUUGACUCAACGCGGGAAAUCUUACCGGGUCCGGACACACUGAGGAUUGACAGACAAUCACACUAUCUUAUGUAUAUUUAUUUAUGCGUAAGUAGUGUCAAACAAAGAUGCUAGUUCUUUCAUGAUUAUGUGAUAGGUGGUGCAUGGCCGUUCUUAGUUCGUGGAGUGAUCUGUCUGCUUAAUUGCGUUUCACAAUUAAAAUACGAAUAUACGCAUUAAUGAUUGCUUGACCCCAUAAAUUUAUUUUUAUGCGCUGCGUCUCGUAUCUAUUAUAUGCAUUCGUUAUUUCGAAAGCAACGAACGUGACCGUAUCCUUUUGUUAAAUGUAUAUAUACAUUUUAAAAACUAAAGGGACCGCUGUUUCUUUCUUAAACCAGAGGAAGGUUACGGCAAUAACAGGUCUGUGAUGCCCUUAGAUGUUCCGGGCUGCACACGUGCUACAAUGAUUAUUUCAGUAAGUAUCUCAUUAUAAAUAGAAUGUACUUUACGUACAUCUAAAUCCUACCUCGAAAGUAAGGUGGGUAAUCAAUUAGAAGUAAUGAUUUCCUAAAUAUUUUGUACAAAAAUAUACAGCGUAUUCAUAUCCCAUAAAGGCUCUAAGUCUGCAUGCGUGUGUAUGAUACGUAAAUAUUACUUUUAUGUAUUAUUUUUUCUGUAUGUACAAUUGUUAAUUCAUGGUGGGGACAGACCAUUGUUAAUUAUUGGUCUCGGUCUUAACUAGGAAUGCCUUGUACGGGUCUUUGGUUCAUCAAACCACCCGGAAUACGUCCCUGCCCUUUGUACACACCGCCCGUCGCUCUUACCGAUGAACUUUACUAUGAAUUUGAGGGAAAGACCUUUGAGUCGCAAACUUAAAUGAAUAGUGUGGUUUAAAGGAAAGAGAAGUCGAACAAGGCA